AUUGAACGCUGGCGGCAGGCCUAACACAUGCAAGUCGAACGAGCGGCGGACGGGUGAGUAAUGUCUGGGAAACUGCCUGAUAGAGGGGGAUCACUACUGGAAACGGUAGCUAAUACCGCAUACUAUCGGAUGUACCCAUAUGGGAUUAGCUAGUAGGUGGGGUAAAGGCUCACCUAGGCGACGAUCCCUAGCUGGUCUGAGCGGAUGACCAGCCACACUGGAACGGAGACACGGUCCAGACUCCUACGGGAGGCAGCAGUGGGGAAUAUUGCACAAUGGGCGCAAGCCUGAUGCAGCCAUGCCGCGUGUAUGAAGAAGGCCUUCGGGUUGUAAAGUACUUUCAGCGGGGAGGCGUUACCCGCAGAAGAAGCACCGGCUAACUCCGUGCCAGCAGCCGCGGUAAUUC
This 406-nucleotide ribosomal RNA is filed under the name uncultured bacterium. Its description in RNAcentral is "partial 16S ribosomal RNA". It matches the Rfam family "Bacterial small subunit ribosomal RNA", at positions 30 to 526 of the family's 1533-position model. The record is from RNAcentral.